RNAcentral lists this long non-coding RNA (426 nucleotides) under Lepisosteus oculatus (spotted gar). Its description in RNAcentral is "lncRNA (ENSLOCG00000023191.1)". The record is from RNAcentral. Lineage: Eukaryota; Metazoa; Chordata; Actinopteri; Semionotiformes; Lepisosteidae.
CUCCGAGACGUGACGUCGCCUGAAACGUUCGAACCGUCUUACAGACUUAUAUCAAAGUUUUAAAAACAAAAUACAUUUGCAAGAAAAAAGCCAGUGCCCUCUUUUCAAAUGGCAAGAGCAACAGAAAGAACAGAGGAGGAACCCUAUGAAUGUGAGUUCAUGACAGUCUCUCACCAACAGCAUGAGGUCAGGCUGAGCAGCUCUGGGUGUGCUGGUUCCCAUUACAUUGGACACAUGGCUGUGCUGCUGUUCAGCUCAGCAGCCUUCCGAGUUUCACACCUGAGAUUUUACAGCAAAAUUAAGGGAAAUACCUCAUCCCCCCACCCCCACCCCACCGAUGUCUGUAAGUAUCCAUUUCUUUUAAAGCAAGAUUUACUAAGUAAAAUACAUGUGCAGCACAUUCUGCUAUUCCAAUACAUACAGUAG